CAGACACAUUACUGGGAGUAUUAUUGCUGUGGAGCUCUGUUAUACACUCAGACACAUUAUUGGGAGUAUUAUUGCUGUGGAGCUCUGUUAUACACUCAGACACAUUACUGGGAGUAUUAUUGCUGUGGAGCUCUGUUAUACACUCAGACACAUCACUGGGAGUAUUAUUGCUGUGGAGCUCUGUUAUACACUCAGACACAUUACUGGGAGUAUUAUUGCUGUGGAGCUCUGUUAUACACUCAG
Pelobates cultripes (western spadefoot toad) is the source of this 243-nucleotide non-coding RNA. Lineage: Eukaryota; Metazoa; Chordata; Amphibia; Anura; Pelobatidae. The record is from the annotation of a GenBank genome assembly.